RNAcentral lists this long non-coding RNA (1557 nucleotides) under Panax ginseng (ginseng). RNAcentral's name for it is "long non-coding RNA (PGIN_LNC012703)". The record is from RNAcentral. Lineage: Eukaryota; Viridiplantae; Streptophyta; Magnoliopsida; Apiales; Araliaceae.
ACUCGUUUAAAAAUAUCAUUUUAACAUGUAAAAAUAUCAAUUUCCUAGAUAAACUAUGCCGUCAAACUACAUAAAAUUAAAUUCUUAUCAAAAAUAAAAACAAAAGAAAAUACUUGGAUUUUUUUUUGCAGAUCAAAGUAGUUUUUUACUAUAAUUAUUCAUACACAACAAGGCCAGAGUGCCAUAAACUUUUGCUACAUGGACAUUAUUCAAGAUACUAAAGGUUAGCCUCAUAGUAAUAAUUAGCCAACCCUAGCACUCAUAACUAUUUUACAUAGAUAAUACUCCCAAAAGCAUUAAUUAAACAAGACAGUAGUCCAUUUUGUAGCCGUACCAUUUGUGCUAUAUUAUAGAAUUGGUCCUCGGAUCCGCAAUUUUCAUUUUAGAAGGUAGUGUUACGAAUUUGAGGCGGUAGUCAUCAGUAGCGUCAUCGGUAGGGCAAUCUACGAACCUUGUUGCUUGUUGGUUCAUGCAUACAUUAAUAUCCGUAAGCACAUAUUCUGAGUUUUCGUUUUUGGUGAAAUCGAUUUCUGGCACAGCAUUCAAGUGCUUUUUGAUUGCUUCUUUUAUCAUUUUAGGACGAUAAAGGUCGUUAUUCGGGUGAAUCCCUACACAUUUUUGAAUAGUAAUCUCAUCAAACUCACAUUAUCAUUUUACUUAGGAAGCAAUGAACCAAAUUAAAGACUAUUUAAUUAUAUAUGAAUGGGUAUGUUUACCUUCCUGGUUUAGUAGCCCAAUUAUAUCAAAUGCUUUUCUAAAAGCAAGCGCCGUUCUAAAAUAAUCAGUCUGCUUCAACAAUGCUUCUGAACACCUUCCAUGUUUCUUCCACUCGUAUUCCCAGAAUUGUACGUCCUCGGUGUUAGUUUCAUGACUCGGCCAUGCAAGAUGCAUUUCUGCUCGAAAGUCCGAUACCUUUAAUUUUCAAAAUGAAGGAGGAGAGAUAUUAGUUUAACAUAUGUGAGUAUGUAUGGAUAUAUUGCAUGUACACUUUCAAUUUUUUAUCAAACAAACUUAUGACUUAUCCAACUCUUCAAGAUAUAUAUAAAUGUUACCACAAAAAAAAAACAUAUUUAAUAGACAAUAGAGCAAGAAUUUUAAGUAGUAAAUUAAAUGCAGACCGAGAGAACUCACAGAGUUAACAUCAAAGGCAGUUCCGUCACAAUAUAACCCUGGGGUCCCCUUCUCGUUAUAGGGAUAAAGGCCGUGAAUGGUAAAUGUGUUGAGGAGAGACUUUGUAUCACAGGCAUUGUUGACCUCGCAAAAUCCAGCUGGCCAUUGAAGCCUUAGGGCAAACAUUGCCAAUGGAUAAUCUGAUCGAGCAUUCCCACCCCAAGAGAAAAUGCUCAAGCUCACUAUAAUGAUGCUGAUAAUAUAUAUUGCCCUCAUGAUCUCUUCAAACUUCAACAACUUUUUUCUUAAGAAAUGAAGUGUGUGUUUUCUGUGAUCUCUAGACUUCCAUGCAUACCCUUUUAUAGUCACCAGUUCUUUUUUAAUUAUAAUAAGAAAAAACUUAUAAAAUAUUUUUAUUUAUAUUUUUGAGUGUUAAUUUAUCCGUAA